UUUGUUAUAAAAGCUCAUCGAAAGUACAAAGCAUCUCAAACAUAGUAAAAUUUACAUUAAUAUUUCGAGACCAUCAAACGACCACUACUGCCGCCAGAACGAGUCACCGACGCGUCGUUGUCGCCGCUCCCCUAUCGGAACCGGCUUGACCUUAUCAAUGACAGUCGGUAAGUCUUCGUGCACGUGCCCGUAAGGACCAACACCCUGCAGCCACAGUUGUCAUCGUUAAACCCUUGCAUAGAUUUGAAGCACCUAACUCCAAAUCUUGACACAUGACGAGAAACCCUAACCUCACCAAUGGGUACGUCUUCACACACUGAACAAAUAUCGUCGGAAAUCUGACAUAAAUCCAGGAAAAUGUGAGCAUCAGUGUCAAGUAUGGACUUGAAUCCCUGUGGGCUAGUUCGAUCGCAAGGAACCUAAUUUCCAUUUUUUUUCAUCUACCACUAUAUUCCCUCACAAAUUGACAGCUUCACAUAAAAAGAUCAAUUAAAAGCUUCAUGUUGUAUACUCUUCAAGCGCUGGGUUGUUGUACUGGCGCUCACGCACACGGUCUCUUGGGCCGGCCCAUUCACAUGAGAACUCGAUUCGCUCGAUCGCUCUAUAGUAGAUCACUCAAUCGACUGGUACAACUAAAAAAAUCGCUAGAACGGUCGUUCCAUUGACCGUUUAGCCAUGUUGCCUGUUGACUACUAAAACUUUUGUAAAAGAAUUAGCGAAUAAACAAAAGUUCACAAAUUCUAAAAAAGAGCAUGAAUUUGAAAAGUUCAAAAAUAUGUAAAAGAAAGAUUGCAAAAUUGAAAAAAAUAUCAAAUGUGGAAAAAGUUCAUCGAAUUUGAAAAAAAAAUCAGCGAUUUUGGAAAAAGAUUCAUCAAAUUUGAAAAAAUCUCAACGAUUUUGAAAAGAAACUUCAUUGAAAUUGAAAAAAGUUCAUCUAAUUUGAAAAAAGUUCUUCGAACUUCUAUAAAAAAUCACCAAAUUUGGAAAAAGCUCAUCCAAAUUGGAAAAAGUUCAUCGAUUUUGAAAAAGGUUCAUCCGAAUUUAAAAAGUUCAUGAAUUAUAAAAAUAAAAAAUAUAGAAAAAAGAAAAAGUUCACAAAUUUGAAGAAAGUUAAUGAGAUUCAAAAUAAGUUCGUGAAUUUGAAAAUUACACGAAUUUAAGAAGAGUUCAAGAAGUUUUUUAAGAAAGGAAAGAGAAAGAGAUUAGGCACAAACAUGUCACGGUUUAUUAGCGUUAAAGAUGUAUAAAAACAAAUUAGGCAUAACAUGUUGCUAGUUUAGUUGGUUACUGCCUUUCGUACUGAAAUAGGAGGUUAGUGGUUUGAAUCCUUAUCACUCACAAUUUUGUUUUUGCGAUCUAAAAGUCAGAAAAAGAAUAUGUGGGCCGAUUAACCAUACAAAGUCACAACAGUAACGCUCAAGUUGAAGACAAAUUUGUACAAGGAAAUACAAUUGAUGCAUUCAACCUUUCAAGUCCAGUUAAAAAAUUCACAGAUGCAACCUGGAAGGAGCAAUGUCAUGGAGUUGAAACAAUGAGUAAUAGAACAGGUAUUGGAGUCUUUAUGCAGGUACAGCAAGGAGAUCAAACAAUGAAAGCUACAAUUUCAGCAACUGUUGCACUAACACAAUCAGCAAUCCAAGCGGAAGCUCAGGGAAUAAAUCUAGCGGCAAUCAUUAUGAAUAGGUUGAACAUUAAGGAAGCAGUCAUACUAACAGACAACCUUAUUCUAGCUAAAGCGGCGGCAGCAAGAUCUCCUAUGUUUCAACCAGGACACUGGCAGAUUAGAAGUACUCUUGCAGAUUUUUGUAGCACCAUUGCUACCAAGCAAGUCCAGGUGUUCUAUGUACCUAGAACUCAAAACUGCGAGGAUCAUAAUGCAGCUACCAUAGCUAAAUCUCAAGAUUUGUGUACUGAGCCGAGUUCUAGGAUCAGAUGUUGUAAUGAAGUACAUCAAAAGUGGCAUUGUCCCCUGAUUCAGUUUAUUGCAGAUGUUAGUGAUAGGGGAUAUGUCAUUACAAAUAUAAACUGUAGCUGGCAGAAAUUUGAGCGCCUUGAGUGCCUUUGUCUUGUUCAAAAAAAAGAAAGAAUAUGUGGGCCGGCCCAGCUCGCGGGAGGGGGUGUGCGCUUUAGGUAUCCGAUAGCAAAAUGGGCUAUAACGAACACUUGAAGCGUCAAAUGGAGAUUGCCUGUUUACAUAUCCAAGAGUAUCUAAAAAUCAGCUACGUCUCUUGAUUAGUUCUUGGGGGAAAUGCUGGAUAGGGCAACAAUAGUGAUUUACCUUGAACUGUAUCUAUCGCCGUAGCCGUCGGCGAGUUUUUCUCUUAAGUUUUUUCAGCAGUCAAAAUGUAAAAAUUAAAUAAGCAUAGAUAGGGAAAUACCUAGACGAGAUUUUGCAUGUUCACGGUGGGAAGGGUAGGAAUCCACGAGAAAAGGUCCAAGCGAGAGAAAGAUGCGUCCAUCCAUCAGUCCCUUUCAGCCAGCAACAUAUUCCCAACACUAAAACCAUUAUUCAUAUUUCAGAAAAUCGCUGCCUCGUGCUACCCAGAGAGAGAAGUUUAGAGAGAGAAAGAGAAAUCAGACAGCGAUCGAGUUGAUGUGAAGGCACCUCCAUCUCGUAUCAUCUCGCCAUGAGCUGCGAAAUCAUCAAGAUUCCGCGUGCUUAUAUCGUGAUAAAUCUUAACAGGAAAGAUGAGUUUGUUGGAAGAAACUCGGACCCAACGUGCCUUGUUUCUUUAUGCUCUGAUUGCGACGUCGAUUACCAGUAAUCGUUCGUUGUUUAAUGAAGACGUCCUGGGAUAGAUAGCCUAGGGCUAAAAAAAGAGCAGAUGACCGGCGAUUCAGGCAGACCCAUCGACGUGGACGUCCUUCCACCCGACAUCAUCCCCACGCGACUCUUUCUCUGCAACUCCUAAACAUUCCAAAAAAUACUUUCAAACAGACCUCCGUUUUAUUCGGAUUUUGCCCGUUUAUGCAGAAAAACGGACAACCAUGCUCAAUUUUCGAUGUCCGCCGCGCUGUGUACUCAACCGGCCGCUCCGUCCCAACUUGUCUGCCGGCGCCUGUGCCAUCGUUGCUCGUGCCCUGGGUGCCCUCGCGCGACCCGUG
This 3105-nucleotide long non-coding RNA is filed under the name Triticum aestivum (bread wheat). RNAcentral describes it as "long non-coding RNA (TAES_LNC014788)". Lineage: Eukaryota; Viridiplantae; Streptophyta; Magnoliopsida; Poales; Poaceae. The record is from RNAcentral.